Molecule: long non-coding RNA, 270 nt
Filed under: Lathyrus oleraceus (garden pea)
Lineage: Eukaryota; Viridiplantae; Streptophyta; Magnoliopsida; Fabales; Fabaceae
Description: Pisum sativum (pea) long non-coding RNA (PSAT_LNC022551)
Source: RNAcentral
UAAAAUUCUAAAAAUCAUCCCUAUUUAUUAUCCAAAAAAUUAUCCCAACGUUAUCCUUAAAUCAUCCAAUAGUUAUCCCAUGAAUUUUUAUCCUUAAAAUCUUAGGUUUUAUCCCAUAUAAUCCCUAAAAUUAUCCCAUUUAAUUAUUUGCAAAGAUAUAAUUAUUAGUUUAAUUAAGAAAAUAAAUUAAAAGGUAAUUGUAUAAAUCUAAGUAUUAUAUCCAUUAUCCCUAAAAUUCUAAAAAUUUAUCCCAUUUAUUGUCCCAAAAAU